AGCGAACGCUGGCGGCAGGCCUAACACAUGCAAGUCGAACGAACUCUUCGGAGUUAGUGGCGGACGGGUGAGUAACACGUGGGAACGUGCCUUUUGGUUCUGAAUAACUCAGGGAAACUUGUGCUAAUACCGAAUGUGCCCUUCGGGGGAAAGAUUUAUCGCCAUUAGAGCGGCCCGCGUCUGAUUAGCUAGUUGGUGAGGUAACGGCUCACCAAGGCGACGAUCAGUAGCUGGUCUGAGAGGAUGACCAGCCACACUGGGACUGAGACACGGCCCAGACUCCUACGGGAGGCAGCAGUGGGGAAUCUUGCGCAAUGGGCGAAAGCCUGACGCAGCCAUGCCGCGUGAAUGAUGAAGGUCUUAGGAUUGUAAAAUUCUUUCACCGGGGACGAUAAUGACGGUACCCGGAGAAGAAGCCCCGGCUAACUUCGUG
Molecule: ribosomal RNA, 433 nt
Filed under: uncultured bacterium
Lineage: Bacteria
Description: partial 16S ribosomal RNA
Rfam family: Bacterial small subunit ribosomal RNA
Source: RNAcentral